UGCCACUGUUCUCAGUACCUCUCAGGAUCC
This 30-nucleotide non-coding RNA is filed under the name Mus musculus (house mouse). Lineage: Eukaryota; Metazoa; Chordata; Mammalia; Rodentia; Muridae. The record is from RNAcentral.